This 470-nucleotide ribosomal RNA is filed under the name Hepatozoon canis. RNAcentral's name for it is "SSU rRNA". It matches the Rfam family "Eukaryotic small subunit ribosomal RNA", at positions 473 to 940 of the family's 1831-position model. The record is from RNAcentral. Lineage: Eukaryota; Apicomplexa; Hepatozoidae.
AGAAAUAACAAUACAAGGCAAUUAAAAUGCUUUGUAAUUGGAAUGAUAGAAAUUUAAACCCUUUUUAAAGUAUCAAUUGGAGGGCAAGUCUGGUGCCAGCAGCCGCGGUAAUUCCAGCUCCAAUAGCGUAUAUUAAAAUUGUUGCAGUUAAAAAGCUCGUAGUUGAAGUUCUGCUAAAAGUAACCGGUCUGCUUUUAAUAAAAGUGGUAUCUUGGUGUGUAUUUAGCAAUGAUGUCCUUUGAAGUGUUUUUUACUUUAUUGUAAUAAAGCAUAUUCAGGACUUUUACUUUGAGAAAAUUAGAGUGUUUCUAGCAGGCCGACGCUUUGAAUACUGCAGCAUGGAAUAAUAAGAUAGGAUUUUAGUUCUACAUUAUUGGUUUUAAGAGCUAAAUUAAUGAUUGAUAGGGACAGUUGGGGGCAUUUGUAUUUAACUGUCAGAGGUGAAAUUCUUAGAUUUGUUAAAGACAAAC